UGAAUGUCCGUACAGACGUGUGAGA
RNAcentral lists this non-coding RNA (25 nucleotides) under Mus musculus (house mouse). The record is from RNAcentral. Lineage: Eukaryota; Metazoa; Chordata; Mammalia; Rodentia; Muridae.